Drosophila suzukii is the source of this 416-nucleotide non-coding RNA. The record is from RefSeq and is a predicted model, not a curated record. Lineage: Eukaryota; Metazoa; Arthropoda; Insecta; Diptera; Drosophilidae.
GUUGUUGUUGUUGAAAAAUUUGACGUCUGACAAUUCAGUACAAUAUUUUUUUUCGCACGUGAUAACGCUGAAAAUUAAAGUGGAUACCCUUUAGAACUUGGAAGGACAUACCCCUGACUACAAGAGGAGUUUAUAAAAGUCUUUUUCAGCGAUGAUAAGCUCAAGAAGAUUACUUUAUAUGACAGUGGAACAACAGUACAUUAGGCAGCCGCAAUGAAGGACGCUAAGCAAGCCAUAAAGACAUGAUGCCAACGAAGGCAUCAAACAAGUCUUUGGACAGCGCCUUAGUUCCGACAGUAGAUCGAGAAAACCCCUUAGUCCUAGCAAACAGACACCUCCUCUGUACUUCUUUUGACCUGUACACCGAUUUUAAAAACGUCGCCGCAAGUGAUCGUCGACAAGAAUCCAAUGCCCCA